GGGCUCAGGGUGCGGGGAGCGGCGAUAGGCCGCGGGGAGCGGCGCUGAGGCGAUGCGCGACCCCCCGGCGCUUCGGCUCCGUCCGUGGGGGUUCGGAGCGGCGAUAACGGCGUAUUAAUAACGCGGUGGUAUUCGACCGCGGGGCUGCGGGCACCGCCACCGCUACGGGGACACUGCCGGGUGGGAAUGCCGCCACACGGGGACACCGCCCUGCUGUGCCGUCCCGUUGUUGUCCCGUCCCGUUGUUGUCCCGUCCCGUUGUUGUCCCCGUCCCGUUGUUGUCCCGGUCCCAUCGUGUCCCG
RNAcentral lists this long non-coding RNA (302 nucleotides) under Gallus gallus (chicken). Lineage: Eukaryota; Metazoa; Chordata; Aves; Galliformes; Phasianidae. The record is from RNAcentral.